CUACGGGGGGCAGCAGUGGGGAAUAUUGGACAAUGGGGGAAACCCUGAUCCAGCAAUGCCGCGUGUGUGAAGAAGGCCUGCGGGUUGUAAAGCACUUUCGGUUGGGAGGACUGCUUCUAGCACUAAUAUUGUUGGAAGUUGACGUUACCUUCAGAAGAAGCACCGGGUAACUCCGUGCCAGCAGCCGUGGUAAUACGGAGGGUGCAAGCGUUAAUCGGAAUUACUGGGCGUAAAGCGCGCGUAGGCGGCUAGAUCAGUCGGGUGUGAAAGCCCCGGGCUUAACCUGGGAACUGCAUCCGAUACUGUCUAGCUUGAGUACAGGAGAGGAGAGUGGAAUUCCACAUGUAGCGGUGAAAUGCGUAGAUAUGUGGAGGAACACCAAUGGCGAAGGCAGCUCUCUGGCCUGAUACUGACGCUGAGGUGUGAAAGCGUGGGGAGCAAACAGGAUUAGAUACCCCUGUAGUC
Molecule: ribosomal RNA, 465 nt
Filed under: uncultured bacterium
Lineage: Bacteria
Description: partial 16S ribosomal RNA
Rfam family: Bacterial small subunit ribosomal RNA
Source: RNAcentral